Molecule: long non-coding RNA, 489 nt
Filed under: Carica papaya (papaya)
Lineage: Eukaryota; Viridiplantae; Streptophyta; Magnoliopsida; Brassicales; Caricaceae
Description: long non-coding RNA (CPAP_LNC007231)
Source: RNAcentral
ACCAAACCAACCAAACAGCAAACGGUAUACACAACACUCUCGCUCUUCCCAACUCGCACAACAGUUUCUCUCUCUCUCUCUCUCUCCGGAGUCCUAUUUUCGCAUCUCUUUCUAUUUUUCUUUCCUUUUGCUCGUGCCGCCACUGUUCUAUGCGCCUCCAUCCGCCUCCACCUCAUCCUCGGCCUCGCCUAGGGUUUCAAGAGUUUUUACUUUCAUUUCCUUGCCUUUCUAGGGUUUUUCGAGCUGGAUUCUCUCUCCUUCCUCCGUCGAAUCUCUAUGCGCCGCUGGUUCAGCGGCUUCGUUGAUUGACUCACCCUCUGUCUCUUCGUUUCUCUCUGUAUUUAUCUUUUCUCUUCAUCGAUCCCCUGCGGAACCUAGAUUUAUCUCUUUAUUUAGUUGGCUAUGAUAUCUCGAUUAGGCCGGGGGCGAGGUUGAUUGAUAGAUAGCUUGAAUUUGGGUGUGAUCAGGGGUGUUAAUCUAUUUUGGGNN